GACGAACGCUGGCGGCGUGCUUAACACAUGCAAGUCGAACGCUGAAGCCCUUCGGGGUGGAUGAGUGGCGAACGGGUGAGUAACACGUGGGUAAUCUGCCCUGCACUCUGGGAUAAGCCUUGGAAACGGGGUCUAACACCGGAUAGGACACAUCGCCGCAUGGUGUGUGUGUGGAAAGUUCCGGCGGUGCAGGAUGAGCCCGCGGCCUAUCAGCUUGUUGGUGGGGUGAUGGCCUACCAAGGCGACGACGGGUAGCCGGCCUGAGAGGGUGACCGGCCACACUGGGACUGAGACACGGCCCAGACUCCUACGGGAGGCAGCAGUGGGGAAUCUUGCGCAAUGGGCGAAAGCCUGACGCAGCAACGCCGCGUGGGGGAUGACGGCCUUCGGGUUGUAAACCUCUUUCGACCGGGACGAAGGAUUCGUUUGACGGUACCGGUAGAAGAAGCACCGGCUAACUACGUGCCAGCAGCCGCCGUAA
RNAcentral lists this ribosomal RNA (481 nucleotides) under uncultured bacterium. Its description in RNAcentral is "partial 16S ribosomal RNA". It matches the Rfam family "Bacterial small subunit ribosomal RNA", at positions 28 to 523 of the family's 1533-position model. The record is from RNAcentral.